GUUAAUAUUUUAAAAUAAAUAAAUAAAUAAAUGAAUGAUGAUGAAUGAAGUUCUUAUGCAAGAAUAGAGACAUUGACCUUUUUCUAUUCACAAGAGAUAGAUUUGAUUUUAAUUUGAGUCAUGAGAUAUUGAACAUUAAUUUUUACAAGAAAUGAGAUCAUAAUUUCGAAAUCUUGAAACAUUGAAAAUCUUUGAGAUGUUGGUCUUGAUAAAUAAGAAAAUGAAUGGU
Molecule: long non-coding RNA, 229 nt
Filed under: Elaeis guineensis (African oil palm)
Lineage: Eukaryota; Viridiplantae; Streptophyta; Magnoliopsida; Arecales; Arecaceae
Description: long non-coding RNA (EGUI_LNC027444)
Source: RNAcentral